UACGAAGGGGGCUAGCGUUGUUCGGAAUUACUGGGCGUAAAGCGUGCGCAGGCGGCUUCUCAAGUCAGGGGUGAAAGCCCAGAGCUCAACUCUGGAAUUGCCUUUGAGACUGAGUGGCUUGAGUACGGGAGAGGUGAGUGGAAUUCCCAGUGUAGAGGUGAAAUUCGUAGAUAUUGGGAAGAACACCGGUGGCGAAGGCGGCUCACUGGACCGGAACUGACGCUGAGGCGCGAAAGCGUGGGGAGCAAACGGG
RNAcentral lists this ribosomal RNA (253 nucleotides) under uncultured bacterium. Its description in RNAcentral is "partial 16S ribosomal RNA". It matches the Rfam family "Bacterial small subunit ribosomal RNA", at positions 524 to 776 of the family's 1533-position model. The record is from RNAcentral.